This 253-nucleotide ribosomal RNA is filed under the name uncultured bacterium. Its description in RNAcentral is "partial 16S ribosomal RNA". It matches the Rfam family "Bacterial small subunit ribosomal RNA", at positions 524 to 776 of the family's 1533-position model. The record is from RNAcentral.
UACAGAGGGUGCGAGCGUUGUCCGGAAUUACUGGGCGUAAAGGGCGCGUAGGCGGCUUAUCAAGUCAGGCGUGAAAUUCCCGGGCUCAACCUGGGGGCUGCGCUUGAUACUGAUGAGCUUGAAUGCGGGAGAGGAUAGUGGAAUUCCCAGUGUAGAGGUGAAAUUCGUAGAUAUUGGGAAGAACACCGGUGGCGAAGGCGGAUCUCUGGGCCAUUACUGACGCUGAGGAGCGAAAGCGUGGGGAGCGAACAGG